UAACGAUGAAGAACGCAGCGAAAUGCGAUACGUAGUGUGAAUUGCAGAAUUCCGUGAACCAUCGAAUCUUUGAACGCAAAUUGCGCUCGAGGCUUCGGCCAAGAGCAUGUCUGCCUCAGCGUCGGCU
Molecule: ribosomal RNA, 127 nt
Filed under: Trebouxia sp. 10 GS-2016
Lineage: Eukaryota; Viridiplantae; Chlorophyta; Trebouxiophyceae; Trebouxiales; Trebouxiaceae
Also listed under: 1 other name
Description: partial 5.8S ribosomal RNA
Rfam family: 5.8S ribosomal RNA
About the family: 5.8S ribosomal RNA (5.8S rRNA) is a component of the large subunit of the eukaryotic ribosome. It is transcribed by RNA polymerase I as part of the 45S precursor that also contains 18S and 28S rRNA. Functionally, it is thought that 5.8S rRNA may be involved in ribosome translocation.
Source: RNAcentral